GCUUCAGUUCGCAAAGCUUUUCCCCACACGUGUGGUGAACAAAAUAAUGUAAAUAGAAACAGCUGAUUUCUAUUCAAAUUAUAUUUAUUCGUUAAAAUUAAACCAAAACACGAUCGAGCUACUCACGAACAGUUGGAGGCUUAUAUUUCAUUUUGCCAAGAACACCCAGAAAUAGGUACAGGGAAAAAUUACCCCAAAAAGGCCUCAACAGAUGAAGGAGUUAUCGCAACAGCUGGCAGAUGAACUAAAUUCUUGUAGAGAACCAAUACGCUGCACAAUGGGAAGAGACGUUAAGCGUUUGGAAAAGCGAACUGCCCACUCGCGCAAGGCGUCUAAAAAUUAGUCAAAGGCUCACACUUGGAGGUCCAAGCUCCAAGCCGAUGACCGUAUUUGAAGAAAAGGCUUUAUCUACAUUUGGUUCGGCUGCUGUGGAUGUUAUAAAAGAUGUCCAAUUGAGAUUUUGAUCGUUGAAUGCGCAAAAUCAACACUUUCAUCACCCACGGAUAGUGCUCUGCAAUUAUGCAGUCCCGCAGAAACAACUCCAAAUCCCGAACAAACAGUCCAUCGACACCAUACCCAUUAAUUAGCUUGGAAAACUAGGGUGCUUCAACUUCAACAUCAGCACUUUGAUAGCUGAUAUAUCCAAAAGGAAUGCUGCUAAAGAGGAGAGGCGACGGGACCAUCUUGAAAUCAUGCAUGCCAUUCUAGGCGUAACUAAUUCCAUAACGGAAUUAUUAAAUAUUAUAAUAAUAAUCUAAAAUAAUUUCUAAAGUUUGAUUAAAAUAAUAAUAACUUAUGUCUAAUACUUUUAAAUUAAUAUUUAUUAAAUUUAAGAAGUUUGGUUUUUUUUUUGUUUUAGAAUAA
Long non-coding RNA from Bactrocera neohumeralis, 864 nucleotides. RefSeq lists it as uncharacterized. Lineage: Eukaryota; Metazoa; Arthropoda; Insecta; Diptera; Tephritidae. The transcript has 4 exons. The record is from RefSeq and is a predicted model, not a curated record.